Molecule: ribosomal RNA, 253 nt
Filed under: uncultured bacterium
Lineage: Bacteria
Description: partial 16S ribosomal RNA
Rfam family: Bacterial small subunit ribosomal RNA
Source: RNAcentral
UGCGUAGGGUGCAAGCGUUGUCCGGAAUUAUUGGGCGUAAAGAGCUCGUAGGCGGUUUGUCGCGUCUGGUGUGAAAAUCCAGGGCUUAACCCUGGACCUGCAUCGGGUACGGGCAGACUAGAGUGCGGUAGGGGAGAUCGGAAUUCCUGGUGUAGCGGUGAAAUGCGCAGAUAUCAGGAGGAACACCGGUGGCGAAGGCGGGUCUCUGGGCCGUAACUGACGCUGAGGAGCGAAAGCAUGGGGAGCGAACAGG